UAUCUCCCAUUCGCAAACUUUAGAUCAAACUCCUCACGGCAGUUACUUCCCUUGGGCAUCUUCUAGAAUAAGGGAGGCCACUGAGCCCUUUUCGGAAAGUCGCAUAUCUCCCCUGAGUAUUCUCCGGAAUUGGAGGUUCUCAAUCGCUGGCAUUCGGUACCCCUCGCAGAUUAUCAUAAUACUUAUCCGAUGUUUGACGGAAAGGGCCGAGAAUGUGCGAUUGAAUCGCUGGGUAGUAUUGAUUUCCAGUAACAAUGGCGUCGAAUGAGAAAGAAAACGAUCGUUAUCUGUCUGACAUCGAAAUUGACAAAUUAAGUGUUGCACAAUUGAAGGAUUAUUUACGAUUUCAUAAUCAUUAUGUGUCAGGGAAUAAGAAUGAACUUGUCUUGAGGACAAAAGGCGUACAAAAGCUAGGAUUAAAUGAUCGACAGCUGCACAGGAAUGCGGAAGUAAAUUAUGAAAAAAGGAAAACAGAAAAACUUUUUACGCCACUCGGUGAAAAGCUGCCACAUCCAGAUGUAUUAAAAACGUUGAGUAGUGACUUAAUGGACUUUCCUACAUUAAUAGAUAGUGACAUCUACAAUUAUUUUGUGCUGAAAAUGAACACACAAAAACAAUUGAGAUCAAAAAAUUGUAUUAUGUUUACAGACAUAAACACAGUAUUUUGUACCAUGACAUAAGUGACAAAUGGGAACAUUGUUUUGUUAAAUGCAAAGUAUUACCAUCACUACCGAGUGCAAAUGUGAAAGAAAACCCAGAUCACAGUGUGUGGCUCUGUCUGUCAAAGGUCACUGGACAGGUUCAUUCAGCGGAAUGUAAUUGCACAGCCGGGAGCGGAGAAGCAUGUAUCCAUAUUGGUGCAUUUAUGUAUGCCCUUUCUGAUCUCACUGCUAAAAAGAAGGACGGCACUCUAAGAUCAACCUCAAAAAAAUGCGUGUGGGACAGAUUUAAUAAUCCCCGGAAAAGAAAGCGAACGCCUAAAAAGUCUAGCGAAUUUACAUUUCGGAAACAUACCUUUGAGUCAAAAUUAGAGCCAGUCGAAAAUAACACCAGAAAAGAACUUCUUGCGAUUUCUGUAAAUGAGAACAGUUUCCGUUCAAAACUCGAAAAUAUGCAACCCAACAGCUGGAUGGCUUUUGAACUUUGUAGAAGAGAAGGAAGAGGUGAAAUUACCAAAGUUUAUAGAAAUUGGAUAUAACUUUAGUGAUAGCGUAGAUCUGAAUAGUGAAACUGUGAAGGAUAAAAUGUCGAAAAUGAUGGAUAUGCUACAAAUGGAUGAACUUGAAUGCCAAAGUAUUGAAAAAUUAACCAGAGGUCAGGGAAAGAACGUACUUUGGGAAGAUGAAAGAAAAUUACGUGUAACUGCAUCCAAUUUUGGUGAAGUAAUUUUACUGAAACAAGAGACUGAAAGAUUUAAAAGAAAUUGAGUGCAAUCUUUAAAGAAUAGUAACAAAUAUGAAUUUAAGAUCACAAUUGUGAAUUUCUCGCAAGCUUACCCUUGCUCCUAGAAUAUGUUUUUAUAAUUUUGAUGUCUCACUUUUCUCUAGAGAUUAACCCUUUACUUCUUAAAUAUGUAUUUUCAAGCUUUUGUAGUUCCUUAAAAAGUUAAAUGUAAUAAAGUACCUUUAUUACUAAAUUUAAGUUUUAAAGGCUUCAUUUCCAACCCUUAAAUACUGAUGAGCAGCAAACAGUAUAAAACCUGAACAGACUGCGAGUUACUAGCAUGCUGUUCUGGUUUUAUGCUGUUUUCACUGUGCUUCCAAGUGGAAUAGGGUUAAAUAACAAAAGUUAACGCCAGAUCAGAAAAUAAUUUAAGUAACAACAGUACAGGACAUCAUUGAGGUCCCUCCUUUUUUAUGUUUCAAUAGUCAUUUAGCUCUACAAAGCAUAUAAAUAUUGUACAUAAAAGUGUAUGAAUGUAUAAAUAUUUAUCAACUGUUCAUAUUAUGAAUUUUACAGUAGUACAUGUAGAAUGCUUUUCAACGAUUUGUGUACGGUUCAUUAAUACCAUCACAACGUGAUUGUCAAUUGUUAUUCCGCUAAAUUGAUUUGCUCUUAAAAUGAUAAAUCAUAAAAAGAACUUUUGCUAUGUUAUUAUCCAUCACUUAUUACCUUACCUGUGUUUGGAGAAAAACCGAAGGGUUUACGAUAAUAAUCUGUUUCAAAAUGUUAAAAUGAUAUGAAAUUAAUGAGUGGCAAGCAUGAACCAAAUUAAGAAAAUCAACACAGAGGUAUCAACAGCUGCAUCUUAUUAAAAAUCUGUGCACAAUGCUUUUUGUCCAAGUAUAGAUCAUUUCAGAACCCCAUUGAGUUAAUAGACACCUUGGAAGCUUUGCUGGUAUGACUUCUGCUUUACAUCUGACAAGUACUCUGCAGGUGUUGCUACUUGUAUCAGAAAUCUUGGUUUUAAACAAGAGCUGUCACCAUAGGAUGACUUAUGCCCCCUAUAUACGCUUGAUAGAAGUUAUGAGCAUUUUCCCAAACCUAAAUGCAUAUUUCGAAACCUAAACACGGACCCUAAGUUUAAGGUCAAGGUCACAGGGGUCAAAGUUUGUGUGCAUAUGGAAAGGCCUUGACCAUAUACACAUGCAUGCCAAAUAUGAAAAUGCUAUCUGAAGCGACAUAGAAGUUAUGAGCAUUUUUCGAAACCUAAACGCAAAGUGUGACGGACAGACCGACAGACAGUCCGAUCACUAUAGCGACAUAGAAGUUAUGAGCUUUUUUCGAAACCUAAAUGCAUAUUCGAAACCUAAACGCGGACCCUUAGUUUAAGGUCAAGGUCACAGGGGUCAAAAUUUGUGUGCGUAUGGAAAAGCUUUGUCCAUAUACACAUGCAUGCCAAAUAUGAAAUUGCUAUCCAAAGCGACAUAGCAGUUAUGAGGAUUUUUCGAAACCUAAACGCAAAGUGUGACGGACGGACAGACCGACAGACAGUCUGAUCACUAUAUGCCCUCCUUCGGGGGCAUAAAAAUUCUUGACGGGUUUAUUGCUCCCAAUUAUAAAUUAACUGUUGAUUAAGUCUUCAGUAGCAGUACUAAACCUUAAAGACAAACAUUUACUUAGGUAUACAAAAGAAAUCUGUGUUUUCAACGCUCUGUGUCAAUUAAUGUAUGUAAACUUGAAUCCAGUACAAUAUUUAUCAGAAUUUCAGUCUUAUAAUUUGUUUGGUCUUACAAAACUGCUUUCAAGCAAGAAAACAUGUAUAAAUAUAUUGGCACAAACACACAAACGCAGAAACACAAUUUUCUUUUUUUGCCUGAAAAUGUUUGUAUGGAAUAUGAGACAAGAAAAUAAUAAUCAGUAACAAUUUUAUUUUCACAAAUGAAAGCUGACUGUAAAAUGUGAAAUUAAGUAUUAUUCACAUAAUUACAUAGUAUAUUACUUAUACAUACAUGCAAUGGUCAAACACUUCUAGUUAAAUUGUAUACUGAAUUUCUCACAAAGUUCACUUGUUCAGCUUCUUAUCAAACUUAAUUUGUACUAGUUUUAAGGAGCCACUUUUCCAGUUUAUAUUAGCAUGACUAUUUUCAGUUUAUAAACACACUUUAUUUUCCGGGGACAGGUUUUUCGUGCUAACCCUGCUUUCAUUCCAACACUGACCUCAUCAAAUAAACACUCAAAAGUUCCAGCAGUUGGGAUACCAGUGUAGAACAACACCUUAUCGUCAUCAUCCCUUAUAUCCUCAAAGGUGAAGCUAGGCCGAUCCACUUGUAUCCCAACUGUCGACGUUUCAGUAGAAGUCUGGGUUGAUAUACUUCUGGGAACUCUCGUAUCGUCGGUUUGAGUAACCACAGAAAUCAGCUCCGGUUGCACUUGUUCACACUGAUGACGGAUUAUGGCGGGUACUGGUGUAAACCUUCCAUAGUCAUGGAGCUGAAAUAAAUAAAUACAUUUUUACAAGCAAAGUAAAUGCAGUUUGAAGUAAAGAUUAUAGGUCUUUCUGUAUUUUACUAAGGCAUCACCAAACUGAUAACUUCUUCAGUUUUUUUCUUUAAAAAUGGGAAGAGCAUGAAAAACAACUAUCUAUUUAUACUGCCAAGUGCCCUUUCGAGCAUGGUAGGCAGACAUGGACAUUAUCGAGUCGGUUUCCUGGGAAGAACCAGUACUUGGUGUCCAUGGAGGAGAUAAUUAGAAUGCUUCCCAAGUAAGGAGUGAACCCACUAACACCCGAUCGCUAGGCGGAUAUCUCAUCCACUACAACACCGCGACCUUGAACUACAAAUAUUUUUUUAUGUCCCCCACUAUAGAAGUGGGGGACAUAUUGUUUUUGCCCUGUCUGUUGGUUGGUCUGUUGGUUGGUUGGUUUGCGCCAACUUAAACAUUUUGCAAUAACUUUUGCUAUAUUGAAUAUAGCAACUUGAUAUUUGGCAUGCAUGAGUAUCUCAUGGAGCUGCACAUUUUGAGUGGUGAAAGGUCAGAGGUCAAAUAUAUGUGGCCUAAAUUGCUCAUUUUAUGAAUACUUUUGCAAUAUUGAAGAUAGCAACUCGAUAUUUGGCAUGCAUGUGUAUCUCAUGGAGCUGCACAUUUUGAGUGGUGAAAGGUCAAAGUCAAGGUCAUCCUUCAAGGUCAGAGGUAAAACAUAUUUGUCCCAAAUCGCUUAUUUUAUUAAUACUUUUGAAAUAUUGAAGAUAGCAACUUGAUAUUUGGCAUGCAUGUGUAUCUCAUGGAGCUGCACAAUUUGAGUGGUGAAAGGUCAAGGUCAUCCUUCAAGGUCAAGGUCAUCCUUAAAGGUCAAAUAUAUGGGUCAAAAUUGCUCAUGUAAUGUCACUUCUGCAAUAUUGAAGCUAGCAAUUUUAUAUUUGAAAUGCAUGUGUAUCUCAUGGAGCUGCACAUUUUGAGUGGUGAAGGGUCAAGGUCAUCCUUCAAGGUCAAACAUUAUUUAGGGGGACAUUGUGUUUCACAAACGCAUCUUGUUUCAAAUUAUCUUUAUUCAACAACAUUUUGUAUAACGAUAAAACAACUCACUCUUAGAGAUACGUCUAGUAGUGAUGCACUGCUUUCAACCAACAAACCAUCUGCCUCGUUCUCGAAACUCAAGUCUGGUGAACGGUUAUCUGACAUUUCCUCAGUUUCUGGUGUGGAAUUCGUCUCAUCUGCUUCAGGGCCAUUUUCCAGAGUCUGUAAGGUAAACAAAUAAAAUUAAAUCAGCACAUCAAAGACCUAGAAAUACACAUACUUUUUCAAACUAACAUGAAAGAAUGAUGUUCAGAUACGUAAUAUUUAUGCUUCUGUAUCAUGUUGUAAACACCGUCAGAUUCUAUACCGAUAGAGUAACUGACCCAUGUUCAUUCUUGAAACCUCGUAUAGCCUAGUGGCAACAUAUCCGCUUCAAAAUAUCAGAUACCAUUGGUUCGAUCCUCGGCUGUGAGCUACAUAAAAUAAAUCAUGAACUGUGCCAUGGGUAUGUCUGCCAUUAUCCCAUGCUUGAUUGUACCACAAGGAAUCACUGAUUUGAAUAGUAAGCUCGAUUUAAUAAUCCAUCGGAAUCGUUUUAAGGUGAUAAUCUGAUUACACGCAGUGCGCAAUCUGAUUAUGUGAUGACUUAAAUUAGUAUAAGUAUUAA
Molecule: long non-coding RNA, 5563 nt
Organism: Dreissena polymorpha
Lineage: Eukaryota; Metazoa; Mollusca; Bivalvia; Myida; Dreissenidae
Exons: 3
Source: RefSeq, a predicted model, not a curated record